UUGGAGGGCAAGUCUGGUGCCAGCAGCCGCGGUAAUUCCAGCUCCAAUAGCGUAUAUUAAAGUUGUUGCAGUUAAAAAGCUCGUAGUUGAAUUUCGGAAUCUGUCAAUUGGUCGGGCUUAAUUGUUCGCACUGAUUUGAUGGAAUCCUACCUUCUGAAUAACCAGCAUGCUAUUAAGUUAGUGCGUUGGGGAAGCAGAUCUAUUACCUUGAAAAAAUUAGAGUGCUCAAAGCAAGCUAGUGCUUGAAUAGAUUAGCAUGGAAUAAUAAAAUAGGACGGCAUGGUUCUAUUUUGUUGGUUUCUAGGACCACCGUAAUGAUUAAUAGGGAUAGUUGGGGGCAUUAGUAUUCAAUUGUCAGAGGUGAAAUUCUUGGAUUUAUUGAAGACUAACUUCUGCGAAAGCAUUUGCCAAGGAUGUUUUCAUUAAUCAAGAACGAAAGUUAGGGGAUCGAAGACGAUCAGAUACCGUCGUAGUCUUAACCAUAAACUAUGCCGACUAGGAAUCGGACGAAGUUAAUUUUUUAAUGACUCGUUCGGCACCUUACGGGAAAC
Molecule: ribosomal RNA, 551 nt
Filed under: uncultured Acaulospora
Lineage: Eukaryota; Fungi; Glomeromycota; Glomeromycetes; Diversisporales; Acaulosporaceae
Description: SSU rRNA
Rfam family: Eukaryotic small subunit ribosomal RNA
Source: RNAcentral